UGCAAGUCGAGCGAACAGAUGAGAAGCUUGCUUCUCUGAUGUUAGCGGCGGACGGGUGAGUAACACGUGGGUAACCUACCUAUAAGACUGGGAUAACUCCGGGAAACCGGGGCUAAUACCGGAUAAUAUUUUGAACCGCAUGGUUCAAUAGUGAAAGACGGUUUCGGCUGUCACUUAUAGAUGGACCCGCGCCGUAUUAGCUAGUUGGUAAGGUAAUGGCUUACCAAGGCGACGAUACGUAGCCGACCUGAGAGGGUGAUCGGCCACACUGGAACUGAGACACGGUCCAGACUCCUACGGGAGGCAGCAGUAGGGAAUCUUCCGCAAUGGGCGAAAGCCUGACGGAGCAACGCCGCGUGAGUGAUGAAGGUCUUCGGAUCGUAAAACUCUGUUGUUAGGGAAGAACAAAUUUGUUAGUAACUGAACAAGUCUUGACGGUACCUAACCAGAAAGCCACGGCUAACUACGUGCCAGCAGCCGCGGUAAUACGUAGGUGGCAAGCGUUAUCCGGAAUUAUUGGGCGUAAAGCGCGCGUAGGCGGUUUCUUAAGUCUGAUGUGAAAGCCCACGGCUCAACCGUGGAGGGUCAUUGGAAACUGGGAAACUUGAGUGCAGAAGAGGAGAGUGGAAUUCCAUGUGUAGCGGUGAAAUGCGCAGAGAUAUGGAGGAACACCAGUGGCGAAGGCGGCUCUCUGGUCUGUAACUGACGCUGAUGUGCGAAAGCGUGGGGAUCAAACAGGAUUAGAUACCCUGGUAGUCCACGCCGUAAACGAUGAGUGCUAAGUGUUAGGGGGUUUCCGCCCCUUAGUGCUGCAGCUAACGCAUUAAGCACUCCGCCUGGGGAGUACGACCGCAAGGUUGAAACUCAAAGGAAUUGACGGGGACCCGCACAAGCGGUGGAGCAUGUGGUUUAAUUCGAAGCAACGCGAAGAACCUUACCAAAUCUUGACAUCCUUUGACCGCUCUAGAGAUAGAGUCUUCCCCUUCGGGGGACAAAGUGACAGGUGGUGCAUGGUUGUCGUCAGCUCGUGUCGUGAGAUGUUGGGUUAAGUCCCGCAACGAGCGCAACCCUUAAGCUUAGUUGCCAUCAUUAAGUUGGGCACUCUAGGUUGACUGCCGGUGACAAACCGGAGGAAGGUGGGGAUGACGUCAAAUCAUCAUGCCCCUUAUGAUUUGGGCUACACACGUGCUACAAUGGAUAAUACAAAGGGCAGCGAAUCCGCGAGGCCAAGCAAAUCCCAUAAAAUUAUUCUCAGUUCGGAUUGUAGUCUGCAACUCGACUACAUGAAGCUGGAAUCGCUAGUAAUCGUAGAUCAGCAUGCUACGGUGAAUACGUUCCCGGGUCUUGUACACACCGCCCGUCACACCACGAGAGUUUGUAACACCCGAAGCCGGUGGAGUAACCUUUUAGGAGCUAGCCGUCGAAA
This 1426-nucleotide ribosomal RNA is filed under the name bacterium. Its description in RNAcentral is "bacterial SSU rRNA". It matches the Rfam family "Bacterial small subunit ribosomal RNA". The record is from RNAcentral.